This is a long non-coding RNA of Varanus komodoensis (Komodo dragon), 2480 nucleotides long. RefSeq lists it as uncharacterized. The transcript has 2 exons. Lineage: Eukaryota; Metazoa; Chordata; Lepidosauria; Squamata; Varanidae. The record is from RefSeq and is a predicted model, not a curated record.
AGGUUUUGUACAUUAAUUUAACAAAAAAAAGGGGGGGGGUUACAAUUUAGGAUGGAAGGAGAAGAAAUGUACAAAAAGUAAACGAUGGUACUAUAGUAAGCAUCUUUCCCCCUUUUUUUCCAGACUUCCAGGACAUUUCCUUAUUAUGCUAAUUUCUCCCAAGUGACAGUUAAUGAUAUUUUCUAACACUUUUUGGUAUAUAUUUCUGAAAAAAUCUUUAACUGAGGUGGAAGCGGGCAAGGUGGUACGCUGUGAAAUUCUUGAUUGACAAUUCUUUUGCUUCCUGGUAGGUGGAGCCAUUACGCUUAGUAUAAGGACUCAGUUGUAGGCUGAAGGAAGAGGAAGACUUCUGUUAAAAGAACUGCUGGUCUUCGCCCCUCCCCAACAACCUGGCUGUAGUGUGGGACCUCUCCCACUUUGCUGAUGACGUCUUAGCUGGAUCCAUUGUGGGGAGGAGCAGCAUCAGCAGUUCUGAGGGUGAGUAGAGGCUUCCAGGGUUUGGGCCUGGAUUGUAGUGCCUCUCUUUCCCUGCUCUUUCCUUUUCUAGCAAAUGUAGUUAUCCCAGAACUACUUCACACAUGAUACUUCUCUUAAAAAGAAAUACAUCUGUAUAUGGAAAAUAUGAACAUGAUUUCAUCUCAUGUGACACAUAGCACAGAUGUUGCUUUUAUUAACAAUAUUUGCAUGCUAUUCAUAGCAAAUUUCUAUGGUUUGCUUACAGUAAAUAAUUUUAAAUACAGAAUAAAACAUAAAAUCAAAAUCCGUAUAAAUGGAACAAUGAAAGACAAACUCACUGCAACCACUUGUUAUGAAUAGACAUGUUGAGCAGCUUGCUAUAAUUAAAACCCUGUGCAACGCUAUAGAAGUGAUUUCCUGCCUGGGAGAAUUGUCAUGUGUGAACAAAGUGUUGUGAAUUUCUGUUUAGCAUUUUGUCUCUUUCAUGCAGUGUAUUUUCCUCCUACCGGUGUUACUACUGGCAUCUAGGGAGUACUUAGAAAGUUUUCUGUCAUUUUGGUUAAGGAAACAAAUGUGACUGUGAGAAGACCUCAAACAUAAUUAUUAUCAUUUAAAAACAUUGAAAGAAAAAAAUUGGGAAGAAUUGCAAAUGUUUUGGAGGUCUGUUAAGGUAUUAUAGUUUGAAAGCUAAAUAGCUAAGAGUUCAGUGUUGCUUUCUUCAAAAAUUAGUAUCUUGUCAUCUCUCUCUUAAAGCAGUUGGUGGAAUAUCCCCAUUCUGCGUAAUCCUAAUCUUCAGUGGUGCUUUUUAAGAAUUACUACAACAAAGUGGUUAAGAUCAGAGGUAGAGGUAGUGGGAUCACUAUGGGUGCAGCCAAUAUUUGAUGGGGUACAGGGAAUUUCUGGCAUUAGAUACAAAUUUAGACUGUCUUUCCUUCCUCCACCCCCACCCAAGAAGGGCAGAGGUGGAGCUAAGGAGCUAUCUGUGAAAAUCUUGUUCCUCAUGGGUGCAUGGAGUUUCUGAUUGAUCAGUGGUGAAGGCUCUCUUAGUGGCUGCCAUGAGGCCAAUCAAUAGCUACCACUUGAUCAAGAAAAAAACCAUGGUGUUUUGUAUCCCUUUGCGUCUCCCUGUGGGAUCUCAGUGUGGCAUGACUGAGUGGCACUGCACAAUCUACUGGAGAGGGAAGCAUUAUGGUUGGAUCCAACUUGUGGCUGCUUAGAAGUCUUACCCUGUGCUGAGGGCCUGAAUUCCCUCCAUCUAAAGCCUAGCUUGACUGGCAGUGGUGAUGAGAAUGAAGAUGGGUUUUUUCCUUCUGAUUGAGAAGAUAGCCUGAAUCAAACCCACUAAAAGCAUUCCAGUCUGUACUUUAAAAAGUGACCCCUCUCCUCCCUUUUGUGGAAGUGUGUGUGUGCAUGCACACACACAGGCACAAUCAUUCUAUCCUAUAUUGGUUUGGUGGCUGUUCAGCAGUUUCGAGAAAUUAUAGAAAAGUUAAAAAUAGAAAUGUAAAUCAAUGUUUGUUUUUCUUUGCCAGAAGCAGGAAACAGCAGGCAUAGAGGGAGCACCUUGAUUUUCAUGAUGGUGUUUGUGGUGCAGGCAAGCAGGAGGUGAAGUACUUUUCCUGAUGGAGUGGGAAUUGCAUCCAAAUGAGUUGAGGGACUUCUAGGAGGCAAUGUCCAGCUGCAGGGCAACUAAGGGGAUGUAAGGGUAGUGUAGCAAAGGAAAUCAGGGGUCUCCCUUUUCUUUCCCCUACCUUGUAGGAGUUGCUGAGCCUCUGGUGCCUCUGCCUUCUUCCUCUGAUCCUUUUGCACCUGGCUUGGCCACCUAUAUGUCUUUCCAUUGAAGUAAUGGGGCGGAAGAGAGACCUAACACUGGCGCAUAUGAAGAAAAGAAAGUGAAUGUGUAGCACACUCUGUAAGAGUUGACCGGCAACUUGCUUAACAUUUUUUUAUGGAGGUUACAAAUGGUUAUUUACCAAUUUACUUUAAAAUAUAUUCUACAACAAAUAAAUUAAUUUACUUUGAAA